Non-coding RNA from Podarcis lilfordi (Lilford's wall lizard), 1145 nucleotides. The record is from the annotation of a GenBank genome assembly. Lineage: Eukaryota; Metazoa; Chordata; Lepidosauria; Squamata; Lacertidae.
GGAGUAAUGGAAGAAGGGAAUGAAGAGCAGGGGUCAAACUCUGUCAGGUGCAGCUUCUCCCUUCACCACAGCGCUGUGGUGAGGAAAGCCUCUCCUGCUGAAAUGGCCCAUGAGAGAGUAGAGAGAAAGUUGUCAAGGUCUGGGCCUCCUUUCCUCCCUCAGAAGCUUCUAGUCCCCUGCUUCACCUCAUGGAGCAUCAACUUCCUGCCUAGGCCUUCCUUUAUGCCUUUAUGCCCUGAAACCUUUCCCAGACUGCAGGUAUAAUGGUGAGAAAGGCCGCACCUGUUUGAAUUCUGACCUUCAAGGGGCUGUGAAAGGAGAAAAAGGAGGGAAAGCAAGAAUGCAGAAAAAGAGAGGAGGGAGAACUUGGGGGAGGGUCGUAGCUCAGCGACAGAGCAUCUGUUUUGCAUGUGGAAGGUUCCGGGUUCAAGUUCCAGCAUCUCCGAGUAAGACUGGGAAUUCCCUGUCAGAAAUUCUGGAGCUGCCAGUCAGAGUAGGCAAUGCUGACCUAGAAGGGCCAAUGGUUAGACUCAGCGUCAGCCAACUUCCUCUGUGCAGCUCCCUGUCACUGGUGACGCGAAUGGGUGGGGAGGCAGGCAGUUGUGCGCUGCAGCCCAGCAGACUGUUAAUUUUAUUUAUUUAUUUGAGAAAAUUUAUAUUAUGCUUACUUGAAAGUAGAGACAUCGUAAGCAGUUUACAAAGGACAAGGUCAAAUGUUUGUUUAAAAUAAAAUACUGAUAAAAGCGAAUGUUAAAAAUAAGUUAAAUAUAUAUAAAAUCAGCCAUUUUAAAAGCAAUUGUAUCUAAUACAAUUUAAGUAUGUUAAAAUCACAUGCCCAGGUAGGCCUACUGAAAGAAAAAAUUUUUUAACUGAGCACCAGAAACAAUACAGCAAAAGCUUCUGUCUAAUAAUCUCUACAGGGUGGUUCUUGGUUUUGGAUUCCACAGCAAGAUAGGGCAAACAUGCUGGUUAUUUCUAUACUUAAAUUUGCAUAUAUAUAUUUGAAGCCCAUUUGUUUGUAUUUAUUUGUUAUUUUACAGGUAAGGUCGGUUGCUGAAAAGGAAGAGUGGGGCAAUGGAGGAGCUUCCUUCUCCCAAAGGAGGUCACUAAAUCCUAUACCCAGAGAUAGCUAGAGGAACUGUAAC